Molecule: non-coding RNA, 774 nt
Organism: Paramuricea clavata
Lineage: Eukaryota; Metazoa; Cnidaria; Anthozoa; Malacalcyonacea; Plexauridae
Source: the annotation of a GenBank genome assembly
CAAUUUUAUUCAGUACCGGUAGUAAUACAUACAUAAAUAUAAAAUAAAGAUAAAGUUACGAAAAGAAGGUACUAGCUAACUGUAAUAACCAAAAGGCUAAUCGAGACAGUCAGCGAAUUUGAUUAGUAACAAAAUAUAUUUUAGUGGGUAAACUGAAUAAAUAAAACACAUGCAAUAAAGAUUUCAAAAUGGACAAUUUUGAUGCUAUAAGCUAAUAUGAAUUCAAUAUAUUAUUUUUAAGUUUGUGUUUAAACUGUGAUUUAGAAAGACCCUUAAGAUUUUCGUCAAUUGAAUUCCACACAUUACUGCCAACAAACCGUAUAUUAAAUUUUCCAUAGUUGGUUCUUACUUUUGGAAGGGAGUAUGACGAUCUCGAAGCAAGUCUGGUGUUAUAGUUAUGUUUUUGGCUUACUAAUGCAAAAUACUCAUCAAAUACGUGAGGAAGUCGACCUGUAUGAAAGUCGUACAUAAAUAGUGCAUUAUGAUAAAAAAUAAGGUCAUGAAACUUGAGAAAACGAAGUUGAAUGAAGAGAGGGUUAGUAUGAUCUUGAUAGUUAGAAAAUGUUAUUAAACGAAUAAUCUUUUUUUGUAGGAUAGCUAAUGGAUUCACUGUUGUAUUGUACGUGUUACCCCAAGCAACUAGAGCGUAUGUAAGAAAUGGAUAGUAACCUUAGUAAAUAGAUCAAUAGAUGUCGUCAACACAACGUCGUCCGCAACACAAGCUGAUUUCUACGAAGGGCGUGUACAACAUAGACAGAUUUUCAAAUUUUGCGG